UGGGCACCUCAAGUCCCGCCCCCAGGUCAAGCAUUUCCUCUUGUGCCUCAAGGUGUUUUUUCCCGCGGUUUUUACCUGAUGAGCUCUAGGGUGGAGGAGUGGGGGAAGUGAGUUAAAAGAAUGAAAAGAUAAAGAGAGCGAACAUGUUGAGUUCUUACUGUAGACCAAUCACUGUGGUCGGCAUGAGACCUGUUCUUUGUUGUAAUUUUGACAACCCUCUAAGGAGACACUGAGAUUUAAAGAUGUUCAGUGGCUUGCCCAAAGUCAUGCUGCUAUUGUGUGUGAGAGAUGGAACAGUGAUUCAAACUUAAAUCUGAUUACAGGACUGAAGAUCAUCUUGGGAAGCUCAUGCUUGUCACUGCUUGCUACUUGUGACUUCUGGGUUCUCUUCCUCCCUCAUCCCUCUGACCAAGAUGUUUUCAUCUGCUCUGGGUAACCCUGGCCAGUUCACUCUGGAACACUAUUUGAGCAAAGGCCCUCAUAGCAAGUGCCCCUGCUAUAUUUGUUUCGGCCCUGUGAGUGGUGACUGGAUGUGACAGGUGAGAUGGGAAGCACUUAUUUGUGUUAGAUAAUAACUCAGUCAUCACUCCAAUUGUUUACCUCCACCCCCCUCUCUUGCCUGACAACCACACUUAUGAAUAGAUUAGGUUCAUCAGAACAAAGACACUGGACUCCAAACAAAGGUUCAAGGGAUACCUCAUUAGAAGUGGGAUGAGGAGAGACUGGGAGACUACAUGAACUUGAAGAACUAGUAUUUCUUGCCCAUGCUGGAUGAUGAAAUUUUUUAAAAAGGCAGGCUAGUAAAGGGUUCUGGCAUGCCUGGGAAAGAUAGACUCCAAUAUCAGUGUAGUGGCUACCUCUGCAGUGGGAAGGUAAAGAGAUGCGGAGGUAGAGAGGGAGCUCCCACUGGGGCUACAUUUUAUUUUUUAAUAACUGAAAUUAUGAAGCAUAUAUAAGAAAAUGCUAGGAGUUCCCAUUGUGGCUCAGCAGGUUAAGACCUGACUAGUAUU
Non-coding RNA from Sus scrofa (pig), 1010 nucleotides. The record is from RefSeq and is a predicted model, not a curated record. Lineage: Eukaryota; Metazoa; Chordata; Mammalia; Artiodactyla; Suidae.